GAUGAACGCUGGCGGCGUGCCUAAUACAUGCCAGUAGAACGCUGAAGGAAGGAGCUUGCUCUUUCCGGAUGAGUUGCGAACGGGUGAGUAACGCGUAGGUAACCUGCCUGGUAGCGGGGGAUAACUAUUGGAAACGAUAGCUAAUACCGCAUAACAGUAGAUGUUGCAUGAUAUCUACUUAAAAGGUGCAAUUGCACCACUACCAGAUGGACCUGCGUUGUAUUAGCUAGUUGGUGAGGUAACGGCUCACCAAGGCGACGAUACAUAGCCGACCUGAGAGGGUGGUCGGCCAAAAUGGGAAUGAGACACGGCCCAGACUCCUAAGGGAGGCAGCAGUAGGGAAUCUUCGGAAAUGGGCGGAAGUCUGACCGAGCAACGCCGCGUGAGGGAAGAAGGUUUUCGGGUCGGAAAGCUCUGUUGUAAGAGAAGAACGAGUGUGAGAGUGGAAAGUGCACACUGUGACGGUAUCUUAACAGAAAGGGACGGCUAACUACGUG
Molecule: ribosomal RNA, 497 nt
Filed under: uncultured bacterium
Lineage: Bacteria
Description: partial 16S ribosomal RNA
Rfam family: Bacterial small subunit ribosomal RNA
Source: RNAcentral